This is a long non-coding RNA of Carassius gibelio (silver crucian carp), 387 nucleotides long. RefSeq lists it as uncharacterized. The record is from RefSeq and is a predicted model, not a curated record. NCBI's taxonomy places the organism in Eukaryota, Metazoa, Chordata, Actinopteri, Cypriniformes, Cyprinidae. The transcript is spliced from 3 exons.
GCCACCACACCAUCUCACUCUACUAGAAAGAAUGGAGGCAGUGUUGGACAGCUGUGUGUGUGUCUGGCAGGUGUUUGUAUGCGUUUGGGAUGUGUUUGUAUGUGUGUGUCAGAUUAGUAUUUGUUUAUUAGAGUUGUGCGAAUUUAUUCUGCAACUGUCUUUACUGCUGUUCCACUGGAUCCCUCAUAUUUGGCUGGCGGUGUUCAUCUGGCAGUUCAUGCACAGGAAGAUUCAGUUUGAUGCUAACCAUGUACACGGAUCAAAACAUUCAAGUACCAGUGAUGAAUCAAAGUCCGAACUAUGUGCUGAUGGAAAGCCCACUUCGACAAAGUAUUCAGAUGGAACUCCGAACAACCUCAGCUGUCCCACCACCAUACACAAUGGCUG